Molecule: ribosomal RNA, 709 nt
Filed under: Microbacterium sp. LB7-9
Lineage: Bacteria; Bacillati; Actinomycetota; Actinomycetes; Micrococcales; Microbacteriaceae
Description: bacterial SSU rRNA
Rfam family: Bacterial small subunit ribosomal RNA
Source: RNAcentral
AGAGAGCUUGCUCUCUGGAUCAGUGGCGAACGGGUGAGUAACACGUGAGCAAUCUGCCCCUGACUCUGGGAUAAGCGCUGGAAACGGCGUCUAAUACCGGAUACGAGCUGCGAAGGCAUCUUCAGCAGCUGGAAAGAACUUCGGUCAGGGAUGAGCUCGCGGCCUAUCAGCUAGUUGGUGAGGUAAUGGCUCACCAAGGCGUCGACGGGUAGCCGGCCUGAGAGGGUGACCGGCCACACUGGGACUGAGACACGGCCCAGACUCCUACGGGAGGCAGCAGUGGGGAAUAUUGCACAAUGGGCGCAAGCCUGAUGCAGCAACGCCGCGUGAGGGACGACGGCCUUCGGGUUGUAAACCUCUUUUAGCAGGGAAGAAGCGAAAGUGACGGUACCUGCAGAAAAAGCACCGGCUAACUACGUGCCAGCAGCCGCGGUAAUACGUAGGGUGCAAGCGUUAUCCGGAAUUAUUGGGCGUAAAGAGCUCGUAGGCGGUUUGUCGCGUCUGCUGUGAAAACUGGGGGCUCAACCCCCAGUCUGCAAUGAGUACGGGCAGACUAAAGUGCGGUAGGGGAGAUUGGAAUUCCUGGUGUAGCGGUGGAAUGCACAGAUAUCAGGAGGAACACCGAUGGCGAAGGCAGAUCUCUGGGCCGUAACUGACGCUGAGGAGCGAAAGGGUGGGGAGCAAACAGGCUUAGAUACCCUGGUAGUUC